AGCUCUAUUUGCUUCAUCCAGGAUCUGGUCACCAUGGCUCAGUAACGUGUUUGAGUACCAAGUCAAGAAGAACUUCCCUUUCUCAGUGAGAAACUGGAUUUGGCUAAUCUUGGCUGCAUUACUUGAAGUCGGGCAACCAUUCAUGUGCGUUGAUAGCUUAUCUUUGGACAAUCAUCAUUUAUCAGAAAGGUCAGUAAUAAGGGUUUUAAAAUGGAUGAAGUUCCUAUGGGCUUUACCUCAACAGCAGUUCGUCCAUAAAAGAGAGGCUGGUUAUCCACACCAAGACUGAGAUAGCAGCAAUUGACGUUCAAGACUUAACUUACCUCUUGUUCUGCAAUGGAAGCCUCAGACGCUAGAGCUUGGGGAUUCCUCACCAUACCAGCAGCACUGAAUGCGAGAGCAUGCCUGAGUCCUGGCCUCUUUGCCGGCGCCGGCCCUGCUCCUAGUGCACCACCUUUAACUCGAUUAGCCGCCGAGGGCAUUUCCCAGUGAAAAUGCCUAUGGUGAAGCCAAAAUCUGUUUCCCAUUUCUCCUUGUGUUGAAUGUAUAAUGCUUGUCAUGCUGACUAUAUAUAGCUUUUUUCCUUUUCUUGCUAUUGUUAGUGUUCAACUGCUAUUAUGCUGAAAUAUAAUCGAGCUGAAGAGGAAAUUGAAGAGUGAAAGAACUAGUCGGGUGGAAUUUACAGAGGACCUUUCUUCUUGCAAGAGAACUCUCUGGUUUGUUGGUUCUUAUGUUUAAUGGUUAGAGCAUUUCUUGUGGACUCUAUGGACCCUGCGAAAGUGGUGUAUUCUUGUGGAGCUUCAAUGGAGUCCUCGCGUUUGCAUGCAACUGACCUUUUAAAGCACAAUAGUAAUU
Molecule: non-coding RNA, 855 nt
Organism: Corylus avellana
Lineage: Eukaryota; Viridiplantae; Streptophyta; Magnoliopsida; Fagales; Betulaceae
Source: RefSeq, a predicted model, not a curated record